ACACUCCUGCGGGAGGCAGCAGUGGGGAAUUUUGGACAAUGGGCGAAAGCCUGAUCCAGCAAUGCCGCGUGAGUGAAGAAGGCCUUCGGGUUGUAAAGCUCUUUUGUCAGGGAAGAAACGGUGAGAGCUAAUAUCUUUUGCUAAUGACGGUACCUGAAGAAUAAGCACCGGCUAACUACGUGCCAGCAGCCGCGGUAAUACGUAGGGUGCAAGCGUUAAUCGGAAUUACUGGGCGUAAAGCGUGCGCAGGCGGUUUUGUAAGUCUGAUGUGAAAUCCCCGGGCUCAACCUGGGAAUUGCAUUGGAGACUGCAAGGCUAGAAUCUGGCAGAGGGGGGUAGAAUUCCACGUGUAGCAGUGAAAUGCGUAGAUAUGUGGAGGAACACCGAUGGCGAAGGCAGCCCCCUGGGUCAAGAUUGACGCUCAUGCACGAAAGCGUGGGGAGCAAACAGGAUUAGAUACCCGGGUAGUCC
RNAcentral lists this ribosomal RNA (471 nucleotides) under uncultured organism. Its description in RNAcentral is "partial 16S ribosomal RNA". It matches the Rfam family "Bacterial small subunit ribosomal RNA", at positions 333 to 796 of the family's 1533-position model. The record is from RNAcentral.